RNAcentral lists this ribosomal RNA (497 nucleotides) under uncultured bacterium. RNAcentral's name for it is "partial 16S ribosomal RNA". It matches the Rfam family "Bacterial small subunit ribosomal RNA", at positions 28 to 507 of the family's 1533-position model. The record is from RNAcentral.
GAUGAACGCUGGCGGCGUGCCUAAUACAUGCAAGUCGAGCGGACAGACGAGGAGCUUGCUCCUCUGACGUUAGCGGCGGACGGGUGAGUAACACGUGGAUAACCUACCUAUAAGACUGGGAUAACUUCGGGAAACCGGAGCUAAUACCGGAUAAUAUAUUGAACCGCAUGGUUCAAUAGUGAAAGACGGUUUUGCUGUCACUUAUAGAUGGAUCCGCGCCGCAUUAGCUAGUUGGUAAGGUAACGGCUUACCAAGGCGACGAUGCGUAGCCGACCUGAGAGGGUGAUCGGCCACACUGGAACUGAGACACGGUCCAGACUCCUACGGGAGGCAGCAGUAGGGAAUCUUCCGCAAUGGGCGAAAGCCUGACGGAGCAACGCCGCGUGAGUGAUGAAGGUCUUCGGAUCGUAAAACUCUGUUAUUAGGGAAGACCAAAUGUGUAAGUAACUAUGCACGUCUUGACGGUACCUAAUCAGAAAGCCACGGCUAACUACGUG